Long non-coding RNA from Frankliniella occidentalis (western flower thrips), 658 nucleotides. RefSeq lists it as uncharacterized. Lineage: Eukaryota; Metazoa; Arthropoda; Insecta; Thysanoptera; Thripidae. The record is from RefSeq and is a predicted model, not a curated record. The transcript has 3 exons.
GAGUAUGAUAUGUCAAAAGACAUUAACAGUAGUUUGCGAGUUAUCAAAACAAAUUAAUGUUGUAACACUUAGGAUUUUUCUAUCAUUUUCUAAACAUCAGAUUAACAAAUAUAAACUUUAGUAUUGUCUUUAAAUAAUAACAACAAUAACUAAUGACAAUGAUCUUAAAAAAAACUACUUUAAAUUAUCAAUUUGUACGACCACUCACAAUCACAGAUUGCUGGUUCUUUCUUGUUUUCAAAGGUUCGUGAUGAAUUCUUUCAAUUUUUCUUCAGCCGAUUCAACUUCCCAUUCAAUAAUUAUCUUCAGGGAUUUUGGAUUCAGAGGAUACCAAUCACCUUUACACUCACUUAUAUGUAUUGAGAGUGUCGCAGGGCCAUCACCGUUCUUAAGGUGGUCGUUCAAGAUAGACUGGGCACAUAAGAUCUCCAGUUGCCCACGAUAAUAUUGCUUCUUGAAAAAGCUUGGUCGUGGCAUCUUGAAGCUUCUUGUCAAAGUUUCCUUAGUCUGCAAAAGAGAGUAAAAUGAUUGCUCUUACUGACAUGGUUGAAGGAAAUUUCAAUAAUCUGUCUUAUUGAACCUUAUUUAUGGCAAUUUUAUGUAAUUUGUUUGAUUUUUGUCUGAAAAACUAACUUACCUUGUGAAGCUUUGAAAAGAC